CAGUAGCCGCGGUAAUACAGAGGGUGCAAGCGUUACUCGGAAUUACUGGGCGUAAAGCGUGCGUAGGUGGUGGUUUAAGUCCGUUGUGAAAGCCCUGGGCUCAACCUGGGAAUUGCAGUGGAUACUGGGUCACUAGAGUGUGGUAGAGGAUAGUGGAAUUUCCGGUGUAGCAGUGAAAUGCGUAGAGAUCGGAAGGAACAUCUGUGGCGAAGGCGACUAUCUGGGCCAACACUGACACUGAGGCACGAAAGCGUGGGGAGCAAACAGGAUUAGAUACCCCGGUAGUCCCUGUCUCUUAUAC
Molecule: ribosomal RNA, 301 nt
Filed under: uncultured bacterium
Lineage: Bacteria
Description: partial 16S ribosomal RNA
Rfam family: Bacterial small subunit ribosomal RNA
Source: RNAcentral